Corythoichthys intestinalis (scribbled pipefish) is the source of this 1556-nucleotide long non-coding RNA. RefSeq lists it as uncharacterized. The transcript is spliced from 3 exons. Lineage: Eukaryota; Metazoa; Chordata; Actinopteri; Syngnathiformes; Syngnathidae. The record is from RefSeq and is a predicted model, not a curated record.
ACCAUGCUCGCUAGAUUUGUGUGGUGUUUUUGUCUUUUUGAGCAGCAUUUGAUAGGCUCCACGUUAACAAAUAUGUGACAAAGUCGUUUCCUUUCAUUUUAUGACUCGUUCACCGCAUAGUCAUUACUGGAAAGUCAAGUUAGCAGCAAGCUAGGUCAGGAACCGGAGGACCGAAUCACUGAACGGGAAGUGACAAAACUCAGUCUUUCCCCCCUGCCUGCACGCUGGCUGCUUAUUGGCCACACGUGGAAAUGAGUGACAUACGCCAUGAUUCUGUUUCCGCUCCCUCCCCUGCCCGCGAUGAGGCUGGCGUCUGAUUGGUCGUGUGCGAUGUCAGAAGACGCUGCCGCUUGCUCAACGCCCUCCCACGCAGCGAACAAGCGCCACCAACUUCAUAGAACGAAUCAGUGCAGAUGGUGAUUAGUUCGGUCUCGUUCACCCAAACAAUUCGUUCAAAAAGAACGAAUCGUUCGCGACCGAUACAACACUAAUUUGUUGGACGUACAUGUUUUCGGUGGAAUUCAGCAAAGAAGAACAUUCAAGUGCCGACUCCACUUGAAGUGCUAUUUUGAUGGCGUCAGCGAGUGACAGAUCGUCAGAUUCCAUUAAGAGUUUUUCUCUCGUUUUUUCACAUGAUGUGCCUUCAAUCAUUUGAUCUCGUAUCAUUUGAUCCUGCAGCGCGCCGUAGUCACAGUGACUAGCAAGGCCGCGGAGGUCUGCAACGAAGGACUGAAUUGACUCGCCCGGUCGCUGAUGGCGCUUCCGCAGUUUGUAUCUGCGCAUCAGAACUCUCUGUUUCCCCGUGAAGUGAGCCGUCAGUAACAACACAGCCGCGUCGAACGUCGUAGCGGACCCAAGCGCUUCCAAAAUGCGCUGUCCUUCGAUGCCGAGGCAGUGGAUGAGAAGAGCCAAUUUGCGCCUAUCCGGCAUCUGCUCGUCGGUGAACCCCAUUGCAACAACGUAGGCAUUGAAACCUGUUAGCCAUCGGCCCCACGGCACGACGGGCUCUCCCGGUACCGGCAGGAACGGGUCCGGUGGAGGAAGGUUAAAGCCAGCCAUCUUCGUCGCCAAAUUGUUGUGUUACGGCACAAUAGAACAAAUGAAGCCUCACGAUGCUCGGCCCAGGAGCGAACCAGUUUGAUGGAAAGCCUCACUGCUUCAUGAGGCUUCAGUUUGCCAUCACUGCUAAACAGUGGAACACGCAGGAGUCAGGACACAGCAUCUUGGCGGACAGCAAAUUGUAAUGGUCCUGUACUGCUUGCCUGCCUGAACGCCUGCCUGCCCGUUCACCUGUACUAUCACCAAACUGCCCACCGGAUUCUCCAGACACUAUCUGCCACUCCCUCUAACCGUCAUUGAACCCUUGUUACCAUUGCAAGUUAGCCUCCCGUCUCUGCGCUUCGGUCCCCUGUUACACUAAAACCUUAACAAAUACAAUAUGUUGUUUAUAGGCUAAAACUCUGUCCUCUUUAAUGUGCAGUUGCUUGUUCUAAUUAAAGUUUUUUGUGAAAAACAAUGUAAUGUUAUGGUGCAUUAAUAUGCUAGCAUUAAUAAAU